AUUGAACGCUGGCGGCAUGCCUUACACAUGCAAGUCGAACGGUAACAGGUCUUCGGAUGCUGACGAGUGGCGAACGGGUGAGUAAUACAUCGGAACGUGCCCGAUCGUGGGGGAUAACGAAGCGAAAGCUUUGCUAAUACCGCAUACGAUCUACGGAUGAAAGCAGGGGACCGCAAGGCCUUGCGCGAACGGAGCGGCCGAUGGCAGAUUAGGUAGUUGGUGGGAUAAAAGCUUACCAAGCCGACGAUCUGUAGCUGGUCUGAGAGGACGACCAGCCACACUGGGACUGAGACACGGCCCAGACUCCUACGGGAGGCAGCAGUGGGGAAUUUUGGACAAUGGGCGAAAGCCUGAUCCAGCCAUGCCGCGUGCAGGAUGAAGGCCUUCGGGUUGUAAACUGCUUUUGUACGGAACGAAAAGACUCUGGUUAAUACCUGGGGUCCAUGACGGUACCGUAAGAAUAAGCACCGGCCAACUACGUG
This 482-nucleotide ribosomal RNA is filed under the name uncultured bacterium. RNAcentral's name for it is "partial 16S ribosomal RNA". It matches the Rfam family "Bacterial small subunit ribosomal RNA", at positions 30 to 507 of the family's 1533-position model. The record is from RNAcentral.